Molecule: unclassified non-coding RNA, 363 nt
Filed under: uncultured bacterium
Lineage: Bacteria
Description: contains 16S-23S intergenic spacer region
Source: RNAcentral
UCUCCCGUGAGGGAGCAGUCUCGCCUGACACUUGUAACAGGCAACGAGGGUUGCGUUCGUUUCCCCACUUAAGGGAACAGCUCAAGCCACGAACUGACGACGGCCAUGCAUCACCUGUCAUACACCCUCGAAGGCUACUCCGCUUUCACGGAGUAUGCAGUAUGAUUUCUAGCCUUGGUAAGGUUCCUCGCUUAGUGACGAAUUAAGCCCCAUGAUCCACCGCUUGUGCGAGCCCCCGUCUAUUCCUUUGAGUUUUAAGCUUGCGCUCGUACUACCCAGGCGGUCCGCUUAAUGCGUUAGCUACGCCACAGAGAGGGUCGAUACUCCCUAUAGCUAGCGGACAACGUUUAGGGCGUGGACUAC